GGUCUGCCGGCGGCAUCCAGGGACAGUCUGUCUAGGUGAGGCUGAGGCCGCCCCCACUCGCUCCCUCACCCCCAUGCUGACAGCAGUGAGCUGACCACAGACUGGGGGAGCCCCACAGGGAGACUGGCCUCCCCAGCACAUGCCCCGCAGUGCCAGACGCGGUCAUCACAGAGGCAGGUACACGACACCACGGACGUGCCACGUACCCGCCAUCGGGACCAAGGACCACUGAGAAACCAUGAAGGCCAUGCAGCGACUGUGGUGGCAGGACCGUCAGGAGGCCAUAGGUGCCACGGCUCCCCUCUGGUGGUUCACCUGCCCACCUGUAGCUGGGGUGGCCCCUCCAGUGCGCUCCCCAGAGCAGAACACCCCCCAGGCAACACGUCUGAUGAAGGCCAACAGCGUCAGUCCUCUGGUGUUUGGUGACAUCAAAGCUGUGCCGAAAGGCCUUCCCUCACUGCUAACACUUGAAGGGCUUCUGUCCGGUGUGGACCCUCUGAUGGCGAAUGUGGUCUGUCUUAUGCUUAAAGAUCCACCUCCAUUAACUGCACUCUUAGGGUUUCUUCCUCUGAAAAGGAAUGAACACGGGAACCCCCUCAAAGGCAUUUUUAAAUGAAGCGUGGAAGGCAUCAAAGAUGUGCUCUUCUUCAGGACUCAGGCUUCUCCAUCAUUCUCUGUUCCUUGGAAGCGUGAGGGCUAAGGAGCUGCUGACUUCUCUCUCUUGGCCCCACUUCAAGAAAGGCUUGCUUCCCACACACCUCUCCACGCUCCCAGUGCGGGACUGACACUCUGCACCGGGAGGCCAAGGGCCACCAUCGUCUUGCUGAGGUGGAUCACAGAAUGAGCGCUGAACUUUCUAGCAGCCAACAAGUUGAGAGAAGCAUGAUUCAACAAUUCGUAAUGUUCACACGAUUCAAGUCAAACAUGUUGGAAAGAAGUGUGACUAUUCCUGAAAUUGAGACCAGAGAGAAUUUCUCCCAAAUGAUCCUCACGAGAGGAGUGUGCAUAAUUAGGCAACAAUAUUUUGCAUUUGAAAAUGUCUUCACAUUAAAUAGAAGGAGUUGUUUUAUAGGCUAGUUUUUUAAGUUAUCCCUAAAUAUUGGCCAAAGGCAUUAUGCUAACAUGGAAGUGCCAGACCUUCGCUGCCCAUGUGCAGUAUGAUGAGGGAUGUAGCAGUGGGUCCCAGGGUGCUGGUGCACCAGAGGUUGGGGUGUGCAGUAGGGAAGAGAUUCAUCUGGUGUGGUUAUGUAGUGGUCAUGUGGUGCUUCCUAAAAGAGGGGCUUAAACUGCAUACCAAAACAAGAGUAGGCACACCCCCGCUAAACAGCCUAGUAUGCUAUUUUGUAACAAAUUUAAAUGAUACAAUAUUCAUUUUGCUUCAAUUUUCUUUUAUUAUUGCGGGUAAACAUUUUUUUCAAAAUAACAUUCUUCUCUUUGUCAAUUUAAAAAGUAAUACAUGGUUAUUUAGAACAUGUAAAAAUAUGAAAGUAUAAUAAAGAAAAUAAAAAUUACCCAGAAAUAAAAAUGGCUAGUAUAUUCAUAUCUUUUCUUCCAGUUUUUUUGUUUGUACAUUAUUUAUGUACAUAUAUAACAAUUGAUACCAUACAGUUUGUAAAAUGUUAAAUGUAACAUUGUGUCAUUUUUCCAAGUCAUUACUAGUCUUUGAAAACUUUAAAUAGCUGCAUGUUACAAACUUUAAUAAUCAUUUAGGUUGUUUCCAUCUUUUUCUAAAUAAAAGUGUGCUUCAGUAAAUUUUUUUUGCAU
This is a long non-coding RNA of Homo sapiens (human), 1764 nucleotides long. Ensembl annotates it as long intergenic non-protein coding RNA 639. The record is from Ensembl. NCBI's taxonomy places the organism in Eukaryota, Metazoa, Chordata, Mammalia, Primates, Hominidae.